Molecule: long non-coding RNA, 1025 nt
Filed under: Homo sapiens (human)
Lineage: Eukaryota; Metazoa; Chordata; Mammalia; Primates; Hominidae
Description: HSALNT0233834
Source: RNAcentral
GAAUAAUCACUCAACACCAGAUGCAAUGCAACAAAGUAAUUAAUGCUCAGAACUCAGAGCUGGGUAUGAAUCAAGGAUCCUUUACUUAGUAGUUAACUAGAAGACUGGGACUAGUUAAUUUCUCCAGUGCUCAGCUUCUUAUCUACAGGUAUCUGCUGAAUCCUCCAAGGGGAACAGAAUAAGGGGAAGAUCCCUGGAGAUCAGAUUCUCAGAUCCAGUAUCCCGUGUGCUGACCUGCCAUGACAAACACUGGCAGGGAGCCUGCCAUAGAGGAAAAGAGUAAGAAUUGGCUGAGUUCACAUAUGGGCUCCAUCAAUAACUAGCGGCCAGGUGAGAUUAGUUCUAGGAGCUAAUCUUGAAACAGACCAAGCCUGGAGACCCAGUUGCACAGUUCCAGAGAUGGCUUCAAGGUGGCGAAUUAACAACCCGGCCAUUGUUGAGAUGACGUCAGCCUGAUGUCCAGGUGGACUGGGACCCAAGGUGGCCACCAGAACAAGACACGAGGACAUUGUACUCAGCCCAAUUCUUGCAUGCCUUCCUUAUCAAGUUUUCCCUUUUUAAAACCCAUGCCUUCCCACUCAACCACAACUGAAGCAGUUACUUUGGAUAGGAGUCCAGCUGCUUCCCCUUCAAUAGUUUUGGUUAAUAAAGUCACUUUCUUUCUACCAGAGCUUGCUCUUGUUAAUUGAACUCUGCAAAUGGCGAGCACCUGGACCUGCAUUCUGCUACAAUAAUAUGGAGGAGACUUCCGUUAGAUAAAAAUUAUAGGAGACCAUUGUUUUGGACUAAGCUCCUGCACAAGGCCCCAACGGAACUGAUUAAAAAUCAAAAUGGAGUCACGCAUGUUAAAGUUUCGUGUCACCAAACCUAAACUAAGUUUUUGUCUGACCUUUCUAGAAAUCAGGAGAAGGAAAAAUAGCCAAUUGCCCAAACAGGCCCGUUUAAAUCUUUAAUUUUUCUAUUGUUCUGUCUUCUUGUACGUGGUUUUCAAGAAAAAGUAACUUUGAAAAGUAAUGAAUGCACUC